RNAcentral lists this unclassified non-coding RNA (246 nucleotides) under Hevea brasiliensis (rubber tree). Lineage: Eukaryota; Viridiplantae; Streptophyta; Magnoliopsida; Malpighiales; Euphorbiaceae. The record is from RNAcentral.
CCAACUCGUUGCUCCAUGCAUUCGCGAUCGCCGCCUCGCGGCUGUCGGUCAGCAUGAUCGGCGUGCCGUCGGCGGCAUGAAGCGCGAACAGCUUCAGGCCGGGCGCGAUCUGCGGCGCCUGCGGGAAAAGUCCCGGCACGUCUUCCGAGCGAAUCUGUUUGACGUAGGCGAUAUGGCCUUCGCCCAAAGUAGCCAGCGCCUCCAAAGAGACGGCGGGUUCGAAGAUGACACUACCUUCAGUCAUGG